This 253-nucleotide ribosomal RNA is filed under the name uncultured Phycisphaera sp. RNAcentral describes it as "partial 16S ribosomal RNA". It matches the Rfam family "Bacterial small subunit ribosomal RNA", at positions 524 to 776 of the family's 1533-position model. Lineage: Bacteria; Pseudomonadati; Planctomycetota; Phycisphaerae; Phycisphaerales; Phycisphaeraceae. The record is from RNAcentral.
UACAGAGGCCUCAAGCGUUAAUCGGAAUCACUGGGCUUAAAGGGUGCGUAGGCGGGACCGCAAGUGCUUUGUGAAAUCCCAUGGCUUAACCAUGGAACUGCUUGGCAGACUGCGGUCCUUGAGGUUGGUAGGGGCUGCCGGAACUCUAGGUGGAGCGGUGAAAUGCGUAGAUAUCUAGAGGAACGCCAAAGGCGAAGGCAAGCAGCUGGGCCAAUUCUGACGCUGAGGCACGAAAGCGUGGGGAGCGAACGGG